RNAcentral lists this ribosomal RNA (153 nucleotides) under Bacillus paralicheniformis. RNAcentral's name for it is "partial 23S ribosomal RNA". It matches the Rfam family "Bacterial large subunit ribosomal RNA", at positions 2775 to 2925 of the family's 2925-position model. The record is from RNAcentral. Lineage: Bacteria; Bacillati; Bacillota; Bacilli; Caryophanales; Bacillaceae.
AAGCAUCUAAGCAUGAAGCCCCCCUCAAGAUGAGAUUUCCCAUUCCGCAAGGAAGUAAGAUCCCUGAAAGAUGAUCAGGUUGAUAGGUCUGAGGUGGAAGUGUGGCGACACAUGGAGCUGACAGAUACUAAUCGAUCGAGGACUUAACCUAAA